RNAcentral lists this ribosomal RNA (519 nucleotides) under Triticum aestivum (bread wheat). Its description in RNAcentral is "partial small subunit ribosomal RNA". Lineage: Eukaryota; Viridiplantae; Streptophyta; Magnoliopsida; Poales; Poaceae. The record is from RNAcentral.
AUGGGAGCGGGCAUGAAGCGCGCGAGGGAGGAGGAGCCAGUUGUGUCGCUGGCGCUGUCGCUCAGGACAGACUCCUCGGUGACGUCCACCACGACGUCGGACAGCUCGACCGGUGCGCCGGCGCUGGUCCCCAGGAAGAGGGCGCGGCGGGGGAGAGCUGUGGCCACGUCCGGGGAGGGGGAGUUCGUGUGCAAGACUUGCGGGCGUGCCUUCGAGACGUUCCAGGCGCUCGGCGGGCACCGGACCAGCCACCUGCGCGGCCGCCAUGGGCUGGAGCUCGGCGUCGGCGUCGCCAGGGCCAUCAAGCAGCGGAAGCGGCAGGAGGAAAAGCAGCACGACUGCCACAUCUGCGGGCUGGGCUUCGAGACGGGACAUGCGCUGGGCGGGCACAUGCGGCGGCACCGCGAGGAGAUGGCACUCAGCGACGCCAUGGACCGGUGGGUCGCGCUGUCGGAUCAAGAGGCUGGGCACCAGCACGCCGCCGACCGGCCGCCAGUCUUGCUCGAGCUGUUUCUCUAG